GGCGGACGGGUGAGUAACACGUGAGUAAUCUGUCUCUGUGCGGGGGACAACCCGGGGAAACUCGGGCUAAUACCGCAUGGGCGGACUCCAGGCUCUGGAGACCGGGAAAGGUGGCCUCUUUACAAUGCUGCCGUGCAGAGAGGAGCUCGCGGGCUAUCAGCUAGUUGGCAGGGUAACGGCCUACCAGGGCGACGACGGCUACGGGGUCUGAGAGGACGACCCCGCACAUUGGAACUGAGACACGGUCCAGACUCCUACGGGAGGCAGCAGUGGGGAAUAUUGGGCAAUGGCCGAAAGGCUGACCCAGCGACGCCGCGUGCGGGAGGAAGCCCUUCGGGGUGUAAACCGCUGUCAGGGGGGACGAAUGACUCUCUGGGGAAUACUCAGAGGGAGUGACGGUACCCCCAAAGGAAGCACCGGCUAACUCUGUGCCAGCAGCCGCGGUAAUACAGAGGGUGCAAGCGUUGUUCGGAAUCACUGGGCGUAAAGCGCGCGCAGGCGGAUGGUUGCGUCCGGAGUGAAAUUUCGCCGCUCAACGGCGAAGCUGCUUUGGAUACGGACCGUCUAGGGACCGGUAGAGGCUGGUAGAAUUGCAGGUGUAGCGGUGGAAUGCGUAGAGAUCUGCAAGAAUACCCGUGGCGAAGGCGGCCAGCUGGGCCGGAUCCGACGCUGAGGCGCGAAAGCGUGGGGAGCAAACAGGAUUAGAUACCCUGGUAGUCC
This 720-nucleotide ribosomal RNA is filed under the name uncultured bacterium. RNAcentral's name for it is "bacterial SSU rRNA". It matches the Rfam family "Bacterial small subunit ribosomal RNA", at positions 97 to 796 of the family's 1533-position model. The record is from RNAcentral.